AGUGGCGCACGGGUGAGUAACCCGUAGGUAAUCUACCUUUGAGUGGGGAAUAACAUCGGGAAACCGAUGCUAAUACCGCAUAAUGCAGCGGCACCUAAUGGUGACAGUUGUUAAAGAUUUAUCGCUUAAAGAGGAGCCUGCGGCAGAUUAGCUAGUUGGUAAGGUAAUGGCUUACCAAGGCUACGAUCUGUAACCGACCUGAGAGGGUGGUCGGUCACACUGACACUGAAUAACGGGUCAGACUCCUACGGGAGGCAGCAGUCGGGAAUUUUGGGCAAUGGGCGAAAGCCUGACCCAGCAACGCCGCGUGAAGGAUGAAGUAUUUCGGUAUGUAAACUUCGUAAGAAUGGGAAGAAUAAAUGACGGUACCAUUUGUAAGGUCCGGCUAACUACGUGCCAGCAGCCGCGGUAAUACGUAGGGACCAAGCGUUGUUCGGAUUUACUGGGCGUAAAGGGUGCGUAGGCGGCGCGUCAAGUCAGUUGUGAAAUCUUAAGGCUUAACCUUAAGCGGUCAACUGAUACUGUCGUGCUAGAGUGCAGAAGGGGCAAUCGGAAUUCUUGGUGUAGCGGUGAAAUGCGUAGAUAUCAAGAGGAACACCUGAGUGAAGACGGUUGCUGGGCUGACACUGACGCUGAG
Molecule: ribosomal RNA, 637 nt
Filed under: uncultivated soil bacterium clone C021
Lineage: Bacteria
Description: bacterial SSU rRNA
Rfam family: Bacterial small subunit ribosomal RNA
Source: RNAcentral